Long non-coding RNA from Salvelinus fontinalis (brook trout), 1958 nucleotides. RefSeq lists it as uncharacterized. NCBI's taxonomy places the organism in Eukaryota, Metazoa, Chordata, Actinopteri, Salmoniformes, Salmonidae. The transcript is spliced from 2 exons. The record is from RefSeq and is a predicted model, not a curated record.
ACGCCUGCGGGGCUUAUGUUGCGAACUUCCCUUGUUUGGACCGACGUCCAAGAUGGUGACGGGGAUUCUUCCAAGGGCAUAAGGCGUGGGUGCAGAAUGCCAUGUAUGGAGGCUUGACAGGGGUGUACAGAUGAGCAAUGCCAGUGGAAUUUGGGGACACAGCGGAAUUUAGCUCCAAAAAGGUUGAGCGAGAUCUUUUGAGUUCUCUGACAGCACCCCGGCCGCUUCUCCAUCUCUACCUGCAACCCCGCACUUAAGAAGAGUUUGGAAGGGGCCAAUGUUCCACUUGGAGCCUUCUGUACAAGUGCAUCAAUGCUAAACCAAACAGUCAUCAAGUUCCAGCAGCAGCCUCACAGUGAACACGGCAUCAACAUACAGUGUCAGAAAUGUUUGUAAUUUUAUGACUUUUUUAUAUUAAGCUGGAGGAGUGUAAAUGUGCCAGCUUGGAGGUUACUAAAGCACAGAGUGCCUCCUAUGCAUGGUAUGACACACUUACAUUUCAGAUCACUGCAAGCUCAGUAAAGAAGGUUCCUGUGCGCACCUCAACAAAUCCUGACCACUUUGUGCAUGAGCAUCUCUUCCCCAGGUUCCAUGGAAACUCAGAAACCACAUAUGGCAAGGAAAAUGAGCAGGUGGCCUACACAUGGAUGGAGAGCUGUGGGUUUAUUUUGGAGAGUAGAGGCACAGUAGUGAGUGUCAAGGAGCCAUGUCUUUUUGCAAGCCCCCAGAUGGAGUGUUACACUCAAGAACUUCUAGAAAUCAAAUGUCCUGUUCUGAGUGAGAAGUGUGAGUCUCUGGCAAACUCAUCGACGUGAACCUGGUGGAUGGAGUUCCUCAGCUGCAACAUAAUGGAGCCUGUGGGUACUACAUGCAGGAGCAAUUGGGCAUGUUCUGCACAGGACUGGAGAUAUGCAAACUGCUGUCUGGGCUCUGUCCGAGCUGGUUGUUAUUGAUGUGCCUAUUGAUGUAAAGUUCUGUGCUGAUGUUAUCCCUAAACUGAAGGCAUUCUAUUUCCUACAUAUGCUGCCAAGGGUAGUAUAUGAGAUCCAGUUAGGCAGACUGUGUGCUCAAAAUAUGUUAAUCUAUGUGGUAUCUAGGCUAAUACUGUGUUUUGAAACGGUUCUUGUAUUUUGUGCCUUGUAAAGAUCUCUCUGUUAGCUCUACCUUAUUAUCUAAGCAUAACUCUUGGUGUUUUUUGUUGUCUUGCACAGUUCUCUUCAUAUGCACAUUUACCUGAUUUAUAUUUGCAUAAUUCUUCUUGGUGUUUUUUAUGUCUUGCCUUGUACAACUCUUCAUACAUGUUUAUCUUUUAUUUAUUUAUUUUUAUUUUGCCGUUAUUUUACCAGGUAAGUUGACUGAGAACACGUUCUCAUUUGCAGCAACGACCUGGGGAAUAGUUACAGGGGAGAGGAGGGGGAUGAAUGAGCCAAUUGUAAACUGGGGAUUAUUAGGUGACCAUGAUGGUUUGAGGGCCAGAUUGGGAAUUUAGCCAGGACACCGGGGUUAACACCCCUACUCUUACGAUAAGUGCCAUGGGAUCUUUAAUGACCUCAGAGAGUCAGGACACCCGUUUAACGUCCCAUCCGAAAGACGGCACCCUACACAGGGCAGUGUCCCCAAUCACUGCCCUGGGGCAUUGGGAUAUUUUAUUAGACCAGAGGAAAGAGUGCCUCCUACUGGCCCUCCAACACCACUUCCAGCAGCAUCUGGUCUCCCAUCCAGGGACUGACCAGGACCAACCCUGCUUAGCUUCAGAAGCAAACCAGCAGUGGUAUGCAGGGUGGUAUGCUGCUGGCGGAUAACUCCUUAUGAUUUAUGAAUAUUUUAAUUGUACCUUGUAUAGAUCUUUAUUUUCAUUUGGCGCUUCAUUAACUUAUCUAAGCAUACCGUAACUCAUCUUGCACUUGAGAAAUUAUGGCAUUAAUAAAAACAUUGUGAAAAUGUUCUUUGAUACUUAA